UACAGCACAGAAGCUUUCAGCAACAUUGCUGCAACGUUACAAUAUUACGAGUUGCAAUGUAAUAUUGCAGAGGCGUUUCAGAAACAUGCAAUAUCAGUAUUACACCAAAAUGUUCCAGUAAUGUUGCAGAAAUAAUAUAAAAUUUCAAAAAUAUAAUAUUUAAAAGGUUACACGACAUUUUCCCGAAAAACUAGAUGAGAAAAUGUUGGUACCAGCAAAAUUCUCUAGGCAAAAUAAUUUUUCAAUUUCCACAGGUUAGUAACACUGUCGAAGUAGUAAAUCCUAGUUUGCGGAGUUGCUUUGACAUAUGUGCACGCAUAUGUGGCAAAUAAUAAAUAUCGAGUAAAUAAAUUAUGACAUUUAUUUGAAAUAAAUGUUAAAAUCUACACAAUUAAAAAUAAAAUACAUAGAGACAAGAUUUCUGAUUGAAAUCUGGUUCUCCGUAUUAAAAUCAUUGUCAGCCAAGAAACAAAAUCUGUGCAAAAUAAAAUAGAAGCC
Monomorium pharaonis (pharaoh ant) is the source of this 498-nucleotide long non-coding RNA. RefSeq lists it as uncharacterized. The record is from RefSeq and is a predicted model, not a curated record. NCBI's taxonomy places the organism in Eukaryota, Metazoa, Arthropoda, Insecta, Hymenoptera, Formicidae. The transcript has 2 exons.